This 832-nucleotide long non-coding RNA is filed under the name Pan troglodytes (chimpanzee). RNAcentral describes it as "long non-coding RNA NONPTRT009216". The record is from RNAcentral. Lineage: Eukaryota; Metazoa; Chordata; Mammalia; Primates; Hominidae.
GCGGUCCGGUCCUGCGGCGCGCCGCGGUCCCUCACACCUGGCCAAGCUACCCGGUUCCGCCGGCUCUACAGAGCAGGCGCCGCGAAGGGAGGGGCGGUGCAGUGUCGCGCGCCCUCCCGCCGACGUGCUCACGCAGCCAAUCGGCGACCGCGAAGCCAUCCGAGUGAACAGCGACCGGCGCCUUGGCGCAAGCGCGCUACUCGUGGCGGAAGUGACGUCAGCAUCCGCCGGGCUCGCGGUAAGGUGUGAGGGGAGGGACAAUCUUGGUAGAACGGUGACUGGGCGCCAGGAUGCUUGUUUCUUACUGAGAGAGGGGGAGGACAAAGUUGCCAGUUCCUCAAGGUUACAUCCUCACCACUUAGCAACCCCAGAGCUUAACUGUUGAUGAGGAUUGCUUAUGCCCAGGAGUUCAAGACCAGCCUGGGCAACACAGGGAGACCCUGUUUCUACAAAAGAAGUUAGCCAGGUGUAGUGGUGCACCCCUGUGGUCCCAACUACUUGGGAGCCUGAGAUCGGAAGAUAGCUGGAUCCCAAGAGGUGGAGCCUGCAAUGAGCUAUGAUCGCACCACUGGAUUCCAGCCUAGGCAAUAGAACAAGACACUGUUUCAAAACAAACCAAAACAAACAGCUAUGAAGCACUUACUAUGUCCCAGGACCCCAGAACAUGGAAGAAAACACAGAGGUUCAUAGUGGGAAGACAGAGUUAAAUAAGAACACGCACCAACCUGGCCAACAUAGUGAAACCCUGUCUCUACUAAAAAUACAAAAAUUAGCUGGGCAUGGUGGCAGGCACCUACAAUCCCAGCUACUUAGGAGGCUGAGGCAGGAAACU